Molecule: ribosomal RNA, 434 nt
Filed under: Nanophyllium frondosum
Lineage: Eukaryota; Metazoa; Arthropoda; Insecta; Phasmatodea; Phylliidae
Description: partial large subunit ribosomal RNA
Source: RNAcentral
UUUUUAUGGCCGCGGUAUUUUGACCGUGCAAAGGUAGCAUAAUCAUUAGUCUAUUAAUUAUGGAAUAGUAUGAAUGAUUGGACGAAAUAUUGGCUGUCUCAUUUAUGUUUAUUGAAUUUGACAUUUGAGUUAAAAGGCUUAAAUUUUAUUAUAGGACGAGAAGACCCUAUAGAUCUUUAUUUAUUUUAUUUUUUAUUUUUUUUGGUUAAUUUUUAAUUAAUGAAUUUAUUUAUUUUGCUGGGGUGGUGUUGAGAUAUAAUUAACUCUUUAUUUUUUUUUUCAUUGAUUUUUGUUUAUUUGACCUUUUAUUAUUGUUUAUAANAAUUANAUACCUUAGGGAUAACAGCGUAAUUCUUUUUGAGAGUUCAUAUUGACAUUAGAGAUUGCGACCUCGAUGUUGAAUUAANAUUAUUAUUGGGUGUAGUUAUUUGAUU